This is a long non-coding RNA of Salvia splendens (bonfire salvia), 1343 nucleotides long. RefSeq lists it as uncharacterized. Lineage: Eukaryota; Viridiplantae; Streptophyta; Magnoliopsida; Lamiales; Lamiaceae. The transcript is spliced from 2 exons. The record is from RefSeq and is a predicted model, not a curated record.
CACUAGCCUGAGUAAGGACUCACUCUCUAGUCAGACCCGAAUUCGAUUAACCAUACAUGAAAAAAGCCUCUUCAGAUAGAUCCCACAUCAACACAAAAAUAUGGCAUGACAAACAUAUUUUGCACCAUUAAGAAAAAUAACAUACUUAGGACAUGGUCAUUAUUUAAAAUGAAAGCUCACAUCGUUUGCUUAAUUCCUCAAUCGACUUUCUGUUCCAAUCUCAAAUGACGUGCAAAAGUUCACCAUUUUUUUAAAACAUAGUAUGCUAAAAAUUAGACUUUGCAAAAUAAAUUAAUUUAAAAGCAAUGCAUGCAUCAUACGUGUGUGCGCGCUCAAAUUAUCCUUCAUUCUUUCGUCAACAAAAAAAAUAGAUUCCUCAAUCAAACAAAACAGCAUCAACAAAAUUAUACUUCCAUCCGUCGGUUUUACUCUUACAUACAAGAGACACUCGUGAAUUUAAAUCACGUAGCCAAAAACAGAAAUCUCAUAGCAAUCAAUUCUCUGGCCCAAACAAUCAUAUGCAAACAAAAUAAAGAAACAGGAAAAACAUAUUAUACUCCCAACUACCAACGUACAUACUCCCUACCUACCCAACCAUGUAUAUGUACUAGUAUAUUCCCAAUGAUCUUGAAAACACAAAAGCAAAACUAAACAAAAUAAUUAUACAUACUCCCUAUCCAUCACACAAUGAAAAAGACAACAAUUUAAAAAGAGAAUUGAACAUGAAUACUCCCAAACAUCACACUAAACUCCUCAAUUCAAAACAGUAAACUCUUCCCUCUCUACUUAUCAAAUCGUCACACUCUCUCUGUCUCUCUAAAACUCAAGCGUUCUCUCUAAAUCUCACUUCACAGAAGCACAAAAAUCCUACUCCAGUCACAGCUCUCUCUCUCUCGCUCGCUCGCUGCUGUACCAGCAGCUACUGUCAUCGCUGCCGCUGUCUCAGCUCAGCCCGUUCACAUCAGGCAGAAGUAUUUCCAAGAAUUGGAUUGCAGAGCAAACAAAAGGCAGUUUCUAACGCAUUAAAGAUCGAAACUUUGGGAGAAGAGUGUCAUUCAACAAAUUGCAGAAAUUCAAUUGGUGGACUACCGUGAAUGUAUAUGCCAUGGAAGAUUUCAUAAAUAACAGAUGAUUUACCUUUAAUUGGUAGGAAGAAAACUUGCUAACAACAGGAGAGGAAUUGAAAUUAGAGCUCUCUCGUUUCUCCUGUUAUCGUGAAAUUGUGCUAUGGAAUCAAUGCAUAACGAUUAGUAAUUACUAAAUUGGAUUGAAGAGAUAUACCUUUUGUUGAAUAGAACAAUCUGCAAUUGCAGGAAGUUUCUUGAAGAACUCACGAUUUUCUA